This 437-nucleotide ribosomal RNA is filed under the name uncultured bacterium. RNAcentral describes it as "bacterial SSU rRNA". It matches the Rfam family "Bacterial small subunit ribosomal RNA", at positions 28 to 507 of the family's 1533-position model. The record is from RNAcentral.
GAUGAACGCUGGCGGUAUGCCUAACACAUGCAAGUCGUACGAGAGUUUUUAACUCUAGUGGCGGACGGGUGAGUAACACGUGAGAAUUUGCCUUUAGGAGGGGGACAACAAUUGGAAACGAAUGCUGAUACCCCAUAUGCUUUCGAGUGAAAUGGAUUUUAUCCGCCUAGAGAGAAGCUCGCGGCUGAUUAGCUUGUUGGUAAGGUAAGAGCUUACCAAGGCGACGAUCAGUAGCCGGCCUGAGAGGGUGAACGGCCACAUUGGGACUGAGACACGGCCCAAACUCCUACGGGAGGCAGCAGUGGGGAAUAUUGCACAAUGGGGGAAACCCUGAUGCAGCGACGCCGCGUGAGUGAAGAAGUAUUUCGGUAUGUAAAGCUCUAUCAGCAGGGAAGAUAAUGACGGUACCUGACUAAGAAGCCCCGGCUAACUACGUG